UGAACCUACAUGUGUAGGAUAGGUGGGAGGCUUUGAAGACGUGACGCCAGUUGCGUUGGAGCCGUCCUUGAAAUACCACCCUUGUAUGUUUGAUGUUCUAACUUAGACCCGUUAUCCGGGUUGAGGACAGUGCCUGGUGGGUAGUUUGACUGGGGCGGUCUCCUCCCAAAGAGUAACGGAGGAGCACGAAGGUGGGCUAAUCACGGUUGGACAUCGUGAGGUUAGUG
This 227-nucleotide ribosomal RNA is filed under the name Vibrio cholerae. RNAcentral's name for it is "partial 23S ribosomal RNA". It matches the Rfam family "Bacterial large subunit ribosomal RNA", at positions 2125 to 2351 of the family's 2925-position model. The record is from RNAcentral. Lineage: Bacteria; Pseudomonadati; Pseudomonadota; Gammaproteobacteria; Vibrionales; Vibrionaceae.